This 705-nucleotide long non-coding RNA is filed under the name Mus pahari (shrew mouse). RNAcentral describes it as "predicted gene, 44418 (MGP_PahariEiJ_G0002961.1)". Lineage: Eukaryota; Metazoa; Chordata; Mammalia; Rodentia; Muridae. The record is from RNAcentral.
GAGGAGCAGAUGGCAGGGAGCCAGUAGCUGGCCUCCCCUUCCCAUAACCUGCUUCUGCUUCCAGACACUGCCCUCGACUGCAGCUUACACUGCUCAGCAGAGCUCAGGGCCCAUUCUCCUGAGCAGACAUGGCAGCAUCUCCUGAAUCUCACUUGCUGCCCUGUAUGGUCCCGGCCAGUUUUCCAAACCUUUCCAACCACAUAACAUCCAGUUUAUUGAGUGGUUCUGGUGAGGGUUUGAUGGCACGCUCGGCAAAGCGACUUCACAGAGUGGCUUUUAUUUUUAUUUCCUCAAAAACACAGAGAGAGGGAGAACUGUGGGCUCCCCUCUCCUAGAGCUCUGUACCCGUGGGGGUAUUACCUGGGCAUCGUCUUCCUCACCAGCAAAUGGCAAUGAAAUACAUACUGUGUGGUGGUGAUGGGGUUUUAAAGUGGGAUAAUACUGAGCAGGGCAAAGGGACAUUUGUUAAAGAAAGUUUGCUUCAACUGCUGGCUUCUUUCUGACCUCUUUGUCCACAGAUGAACAUAACAGCUCCUGUAACUCUGGCAGAUGGAAAAGGUGGGCUUCUACCGACAAUGCAGUUCUCUAGUUCCCUGGCCGCCACUGUGAGCGUCAGGCCCUGUCUCAGGACCACACGUACUGCAGUGCCAUCCCUGCACUUCAAGGACAGCUGCAUUUCAUCUUCCAGGUCCUGGAUCACUGUUC